GAGCCGAGCGGCGAACGGGUGAGUAACGCGUAAGCAAUCUGCCCCCACAAUCGGGAACAACCGUGCCAACGCGCGGCUAAUGCCGGAGUAUUGUGUCCUACUGCAUAGGUAGGUUAACGAAAGUAUUUAUCGUUGUGGGAUGAGCUUGCGUCCGAUUAGCUAGUUGGCGGGGUAAUAGCCCACCAAGGCGACGAUCGGUAGCCGGCCCGAGAGGGUGAUUGGCCACAUUGGGACUGAGAUACGGCCCAGACUCCUACGGGAGGCAGCAGUAGGGAAGUAUUGCGCAAUGGGGGGAACCCUGACGCAGCCAACGCCACGUGUGGGAAGAAGCAUUUCGGUGUGUAAACCACUGUCGGAAAGGAAUAACGGAAGACUUCGGUCUUUAUGAAUGUACUUUUAGAGGAAGCACCGGCAACUUCGUGCCAGCAGCCGC
This 433-nucleotide ribosomal RNA is filed under the name uncultured bacterium. Its description in RNAcentral is "bacterial SSU rRNA". It matches the Rfam family "Bacterial small subunit ribosomal RNA", at positions 88 to 518 of the family's 1533-position model. The record is from RNAcentral.